UAAGGAAUAUUGGUCAAUGGACGCAAGUCUGAACCAGCAAUGCCGCGCGAAAGAUGAAGGUCCUCUGGAUUGUAAACUUCUUUGAUCUGGGACGAAAACGGGAUUUUUAUCGCAAUUGACGGUACCAGAGGAAAAAGCAACGGCUAACACUGUGCAAGCCGCCGCGGUAAUACGGAGGGGGAGAGCGUUAUUCGGAUUUACUGGGAUUAAAGGGUGCGUAGGUGGGCUUAUAAGUCAGUGGUGAAAUCUCCGAGCUUAACUUGGAAACUGCCGUUGAUACUAUAGGUCUUGAAUUAUCUGGAGGUAAGCGGAAUGUGUCAUGUAGCGGUGAAAUGCGUAGAUAUGACAUAGAACACCAGUUGCGAAGGCAGCUUACUACAUCUAAAUUGACGCUGAGGCACGAAAGCGUGGGGAUCAAACA
Molecule: ribosomal RNA, 421 nt
Filed under: uncultured bacterium
Lineage: Bacteria
Description: bacterial SSU rRNA
Rfam family: Bacterial small subunit ribosomal RNA
Source: RNAcentral